GCGACAGCCCGGCCUGGCCUGUUGCCCUCCUUCACUCACAAGUUCAUAAGUAGAACCAUUGAAAUAAACGAACGCAUAAAUGUUUUCAAAAAACGCGCGCUCUCAUAUUCUCUCUCCUCUAUUUCUCCCUCAAUAACAAACUCUCCCUCCAAAGUUGAACAACACAGCGAAAAUCCAUCAACAGCAACUUUCGACGUAUUGAGAAAUCGGAAAAUCGGAUUAAGGUUGUAGCAAUGCAGCUCAGCACAAUGGCAUACUUCAGAAGGUCUCUAUGUCAAAGACUGCUGGGUUUAAGCUCUGAUUUGAACAAGAAUAGGGCAACAUGAGUAACAUCGAUGGAAUUCAGAAAGCAAAGGGAGAAUCCGCUUCUGUUGAAAGGAUUAGGUGGAACACAUUUGACUGUGUUUGGAGUUGAGGGCUAUCAUUCACUGCCAAUUUGCCACUUACUGUCCUUUCUCAAAUGAUAUUGUUCAGUGAUAAAGGAGGUACAGCUGAGUAGUUAUCAUGGAUGAAGAACAAGCUGUUCAGGGUCUUUCAAGACUUUUAACUGUCAGGAAUUUUAUAGGCGGAGACAUGGAGCCCACAAUUGAAUAAACUUAACUUUGGACCAUCUUGGAGGUUUGAAUAGAACCUAAACAAACUAGUGCAUUCAGGAGUUUUGACUGGAGAUAACACUUAAGAUAUGGAUACAGUUCAGUGGAUGAUCUAAUUGACAGAAGAUAUAUUGUCUAUUGUUUGCUGAUCCGUCUUAUGGCAGGAUUUUAAGAUUAGAAUUUUGUUGUCUUUUGUGCUUUGGAGUAGAUCAAGAAUUCUGAAUAUUAAUUUAUCUUGUCAAACUGCAGAUAUGUUAGGGACUGAAAAAGAAUACAACUAAUCUUAUUUGCUUUUGUACUCUUAAGGAUCAUGAAAGUUAUAGAAUGUUGAUCGUUGUACUUCAUUUCCAUGGAAGUGUUUUCCUCUUGCUCAAUUUUGAAAUUUGUCGUAUUUUGCAGAUACAUAACUGUUGAUUCUUCUAUUCCGUAUCAUUGUUGCUUUCAGCUCACUGAACUCAGUGAAGCUCACAG
This is a long non-coding RNA of Chenopodium quinoa (quinoa), 1064 nucleotides long. RefSeq lists it as uncharacterized. The record is from RefSeq and is a predicted model, not a curated record. The transcript has 4 exons. Lineage: Eukaryota; Viridiplantae; Streptophyta; Magnoliopsida; Caryophyllales; Amaranthaceae.